This is a long non-coding RNA of Eublepharis macularius, 3189 nucleotides long. RefSeq lists it as uncharacterized. The transcript has 3 exons. The record is from RefSeq and is a predicted model, not a curated record. NCBI's taxonomy places the organism in Eukaryota, Metazoa, Chordata, Lepidosauria, Squamata, Eublepharidae.
UGCUGGCGAAACAUCAGGAACUACAAUGCCAAGACCACGGCAAUACAGCCCGGAAAACCCACAACAACCAUCGCUCUCUGGCCGUGAAAGCCUUUGACAACGUACAAGCAUCCUUGAGAACAUGUGCAUUUCCCCAAACAGUUUGGGGUUCUGGGAAGAGGGGAGGCUCAAGCUCUUUCUCCGUACACACUACUCAAAUUCUCCAUAUACACUACUCACCUGAUCUGAAUCAGGCAUUGGAUAAAUGGGAUUUGAGAACCUGCAACUCACAUCUGACUGUGUUACACCUGACACAGGGACUCCACACCCAGCCUGUUUACUAUGUGAUGUAUGAAUUGGCUGGUUGAAAACACAGAGCCAUAUUUUUUUUGGUCAAUUUGUCAAAUGUUUGUGAACAUUGAGCCUGUUUGUCAGGUUAUUUUUUAAUUAUUCAAACAGUACUAUACAGUGCAACUGGCAGCAUUUAACAAAUAGCACAUUCUCACCACAGCCCGAUGGGAGUCCUACUUUCCCCUCCCCUGUAGAUCUGUUGUCACUGCAUGCCACUCAGCAGCCGCCAGUUGUAUAAAUAAAUAGUGGGCAAAUCAAUCAGCCAGCCAGCAAUUAUAAAUAAACGCUUUUUAAAAAGACUUACUGUUUAAUGGCAUUCAUUUAAAUUCAUGUUAUCAAUGUUAUUUUGUGCAUGUGUAUUUAUGGGAGGUGUCAUUUAAUUACCUGACCCAAUCAUCCUUGACCCUGUCCCCUACUGCACAGAAGCAAAAGCCCGCACAAGGCAAGGAAGUGAAACUCCACCACAGCAAGGCAAUCCAACCUCAGCUACUGCACAAGUAAAAAACUGCUCAACAUCCAUUCAAGAUGGACAGGUGAAGGGAUUGGGUGUUUGGGGCAUAGGUGACAGUGGCUGUCCAAAAGGUGUAUGGUUCCAUGGCAGGGUGAUGUGACCGAAUAUCCCCUUCCAUACAUAUGCAACCCAAAGUGGUUGGCAGCAAAGAGAACAUAGAAUUAUUAGAGUGUAGGAGCUCACAUGGGGGACCAAAUUAAGGGAAUUAAGGCAAGCUGUCCUAUGAAAGAAGGAACAAAUUACCCUCGCUGGCAGGUGUCCAUCACAAACUUUGCUACUGCUUCAUGCCUGUCUUACCACUGUUAUGUUUAUGCUCCAUCAUUCACAGUCUCACCAAUGAAUGUUCUGUUAUUUGAUGACUGCAAUGUCAAGUGAAAGCUUGCAUCUAUGAAUGAGCUACCACAGAUAUAAAUGUAAUAUCACUCAAGAUACAAUGCUUUUCAGGCAGUGAACUUGGUUCAUAUAUUUUUCUGUCUGUUAUCAAAUGCACAGCAAUCAAGAGAAUUGAAGAGAAAUGUGUAUGUGAACCAACUCUCAAAACAAUGACAAGUAGCUCCUAUAAGAUCGUUAUUUUUUCACUUUUCUAAGGUGUCUUGCUGGUGCCAAAUAUUUUAUUCUUGACUAGAAUUGUGUUAAAAUAAAUCACACCCAAUCAUCAAUAAAUGCUAUGAUUUCAACGCUCUGAAUUUUGACCAAAUUAGCAAUUUCCCUUUCAGCUUCCCUUUCCUUCCCCCUUCUUGUGUCCCUUACCGCUCAGAAGCAACAUUUUGAGGAGUUCCGUGGGUUUCAUUGGAAGGAGGGGGGAGGUAGGAAAGUUCCAAUCUGCUGACAAGAACUAUAGUUUGGAUCCAAGCCAGAAUUCUAACCCAAAUUCAAGAGCAACUGAAAACUAGAUAGUAGAUUGUGGCAUCUCACUGUCUGGUUUCAUUUCUUUAGGCAGCAGGAAGAAGGGACAGCAAGGGGAUAGAGUGACUCAGUAGGUGGGUCCCUAAGAGGGACACUGUCCCACCAGAAUGGUUAUCAAAUCUUCCUGCCAAACAGGUUCAUCCUGACUGACUUUUUCAUACAUUUUUCACUUUCUGCCAAUCCUUUCAGCAUGACAAACUUUCAGAGAGUUUUUGAUGCUAUAUAACUAUGUGCCCUGUGUUUGCAAGAGAUAUUUUGUUCUCUGCAGUUGUGCUUUCUAAGUAAGAACAAAGUCUGCAUAUGCUGUCAAGCAGGGAAGAGUGGGAAGAAGCAGAAGCUACAGUUCACCCUUUAUAGGCUUGGGAGGGUAGAGAGCAGAGGCUUAGAUUAGGUGCUACUAGUUAUAGCUAGCUCGUCCCCUCAUGAUAGGCUGUCCUCCUAGAUCUCCAGCAGAAGACAAAGGCACUGACUUUUUGCACAUACUGAAAGGCAGACAAGGCUUCAGAGAUGGGAGGCAUAGAGGUAGAGGCCUAGCCCCGCCCCUUCUGUGGUAGAAAGUGCCAUCAAGUCCUAGAGACGGAAGUCAAGAGACUGAAAGCCAACUAAGUUGACCUCUGUAAAACAUUAAUCAGGUGAUCUCUGUUGCUGCUUGUGUUGUGCUGGCAAAGUUGCUCCACAGUUCACAACUCCAGCCUUACACUUUUUUCUUUUUCUUUUUUAAAUACACACACAGACACAGACAAUUAACAUGAGAUCUGAACUUUUGAUCAUAGUGAACGCCACUUCCAGCAAAUCCCCUACUGCAGGAAAGUGAUUAUCAUUCUCUUAGCUGAAUGAUGGUCAUACAAGUAGCUACUUGUCCUACCCUCAAGAUGGAUUUGGAUUUUCUUUCUCUUAAAAAUGUGUCACUCCGGCUAUUUUGGCAAGAAGACCAACAUGAGAAGAAACAAUGGCAAAGAAUCUCAAAACGAGUGAAUAUUAGCUACUAAAUAGAGUUGUAGAGAAUGAGUGAGAAUGGGCUGCUAAAGCCCGUUUGCAUCCUGAUCCAAUAAAUCCUUACUUGGAAAUGUCUCACUGAGUGUAGCAGGACUUAGUCCCAGUCAUACAUCAGCAAGGAUGGUGUUACCUAUCUUUCCCCAGAAACAGAAUGGGAGGAAAGGUCAAAUACUCCUCCACCAGUGCUGCUUUCUAGAUCAAAGGGCUAUAAUUCCCAACAAGAAGCCUGAAGCCUGGGGUACAGCUGCUUCAGAUGGAUGAGAGAGGACUCAUCACUUCUUGGAUGUUGAACUGUUUGCCUUUUCAAGGACAUUGUUGAUUUGGAGGUUUUUUAAUGGUUGCACUUAAGAGUUGAUUUUUUUCAAAAAAAAGUUGUAUUUUAUUAAUUGUUAAAAAGUUUAAAAGGGAAAAAAAGUUAUUUCUUAAAAUUUUGUGUAAGUUGCUUC